CACGUAUUGACUCACAGCACAGAGAUGAGGGAACCCCACAGCUCUGCACCUGAGAUGCUCUACCUGCCAGCUUUGGCCAUAGCUGUGGUAUAAGGCAACUGCACUUCUAUUCUACAAACAAGAGUAACACGUAGAGAUUCCAGGCCACUGCUUCCUCACAGUGCAUGUUUAUUUAAGCCCUAGCCCAAACAGGGCAGAAUUGCACCACCCAGGCUGGCAGCUGCCUCUCACACAGCAAUCUGCACCAGAGCGCGCUAACAGCUGCUUCCAUGGAACAGUCACCACCGCACAGGUGAUGCAGUGCUUCCAUAGCAGCCACCCACAGCUCGGAUGCUCUCCUUCAGUAAAAGGAAAUGCUUUGCUCAAAAGGCCAAAGCCACAGACAGCUGAGAAAGCGCUCCAAGGAAGUACAGCCACGUUCCUGCAGGGCAGGAACACAGCACUGGGCUACAUGAGCCUUCCAUGUGCCUCGUGCUGCCAUUCUCACGCCUAGUAAUUAAAUAAGUCAUGAUCA
RNAcentral lists this long non-coding RNA (514 nucleotides) under Gallus gallus (chicken). RNAcentral describes it as "long non-coding RNA NONGGAT003592". The record is from RNAcentral. Lineage: Eukaryota; Metazoa; Chordata; Aves; Galliformes; Phasianidae.